RNAcentral lists this unclassified non-coding RNA (1620 nucleotides) under Patiria miniata (bat star). Its description in RNAcentral is "isatin hydrolase-like, transcript variant X3". The record is from RNAcentral. Lineage: Eukaryota; Metazoa; Echinodermata; Asteroidea; Valvatida; Asterinidae.
UUUGUACCGGACACUCCUUUCUGUUUUUAUUUGUUUAACAGCGUGCCUUUUAAUAGGCCUAAUGCAGGCUAGUUUCCAAGGAAUGUCGCAUUACACCGAGUGACUCUGCACCAGUUAGUGUCGAUUUGAAAAGUGAAUGAACCGAACUCAGGCAGCUUGAGAUUGAAAGCGGUACCUUCAAUUUCCGAUUAUGGCCCCACGACCUGAAGUGGGUUUUUUAUUAGUCGCCCAUGGCCUUUUGUUCCUGGCCGUCGUGACGUCAGCACUGGACAAGGGCGAGGUCCUGGACAUGUCCUAUGCGUUUGGCGACACCACCUUGUAUUGGCCAGGUCUCGGAUCAUUUGAAAUGGACAUUCUAUCACGGGGACCAUCGGGAGAUAUACCAUGGUUCGAGGCCAACUCCUUCUCAGGUGCAGAGCAUGGCGGGACUCACUUGGAUUCCCCGGCCCAUCUCUCUCAAGGCCAACUGCGCGUUGAUGCCAUACCAGUCGACAAGUUUGUCGGUCCGGCCCUUCGAGUCGACAUAGCUGACAAAGCCAAUGUGAACGAGGACUACCAACUGACGGCCCAGGAUCUACAAGACUGGGAAGGGGUCCACGGUAGGAUUCCGGACGGCUCCUUGCUCUUCGUCUACACCGGUUGGGGAGCCUUCUACCCGGAUCGCUUGGCUUACUUCGGCUCGGCACGCAACGACACCUAUCUGAAUGACCAAGGGGAAUCGCUGCUCCACUUCCCGGGCGUGGCGCCCGAGGCAGCCACGUGGCUGGUGGAGAACCGCAAGAUCUCGGGCCUCGGAAUCGACACGGCAUCCAUGGACUACGGACAGAGCACCGUUUUUAUGAGCCACCAGAUUCUUUUCGGGGCCAACAUUUAUGGUAUGGAGAAUGUGGCCAACUUGGAUCGCCUGCCUAACACGGGGGCUAAGGUGCACGCACUCCCCAUGAAAAUUAAGGACGGGAGCGGUGCCCCAAUACGCAUCACCGCCAUGUUGGAUGAGGAGUGUACCUCGGGGGCAGCGAUGCUGUCGCCAGCAAAAGCCGCUUUUGUUGCACUGCUGGGUUUGGCUUUGUUUGUUUUAAAGUACUAAAAGCCAUUUGCUGAUCGCGAUUUUUGUUUUGCUACAAAACAAUUACAUACAGUACUAGGAGUUAUGCUCUAUAGUUUUUACCCAUGGUUGUGGUUUUAAAGUUUACAAGUAAGUGAGCAACCCUUAAUUGAAUUUCUAGCUCGUACUGUUCCCUGUAGAUUUAAGGGAAUAUACAGUCGAACACCUUUAUAACAAGGUCCUUGGGACUUUACGAAUUACCUUGUUGUAACAGGUACCUUGUACUAAGAGUAACGGAAAACAAAGAGAAACAAAGACUUGGGACCUAAAGUUUUGCUUGUUAUAAGCAGUACGUUGUAUCAACAGUGCUCUUCUUAUCAGGGUUCGACUGUAAAUGCCAUACUUUUCGCUUGUGGUGGUGGUGGUGGCGCUGUUGAUCGCGCACUUUAUGAAUAGAUGUAUUUCCUUCAAAUAAUCAUGGUUUUUUUUUCAAUAUUACCAUCCUUAAUUUGUUACUUUUAGCAUACAAUUAAAAGUUUUAGUGUUGCAUUUUGGAUGAAACGCGAAAAAUUCAA